ACAGGGAUUGCCCUAGUAACGGCGAGUGAAGCGGCAACAGCUCAAAUUUGAAAUCUGGCUCUUUUAGAGUCCGAGUUGUACUUUGCAGAGGGCGCUUUGGCUUUGGCAGCGGUCCAAGUUCCUUGGAACAGGACGUCACAGAGGGUGAGAAUCCCGUACGUGGUCGCUGGCUAUUGCCGUGUAAAGCCCCUUCGACGAGUCGAGUUGUUUGGGAAUGCAGCUCUAAAUGGGAGGUACAUUUCUUCUAAAGCUAAAUAUUGGCCAGAGACCGAUAGCGCACAAGUAGAGUGAUCGAAAGAUGAAAAGCACUUUGGAAAGAGAGUCAAACAGCACGUGAAAUUGUUGAAAGGGAAGCGCUUGCAGCCAGACUUGCUUGCAGUUGCUCAUCCGGGCUUUUUUGCCCGGUGCACUCUUCUGUAGGCAGGCCAGCAUCAGUUUGGGCGGUAGGAUAAAGGUCUCUGUCACGUACCUCCUUUCGGGGAGGCCUUAUAGGGGAGGCGACAUACUACCAGCCUGGACUGAGGUCCGCGCAUCUGCUAGGAUGCUGGCGUAAUGGCUGUAAGCGGCCCGUCUUGAAACACGGACCAAGGAGUCUAACAUCUAUGCGAGUGUUUGGGUGUCAAGCCCGAGCGCGUAAUGAAAGUGAACGGAGGUGGGAACCCGCAAGGGUGCACCAUCGACCGAUCCUGAUGUCUUCGGAAGGAUUUGAGUAAGAGCAUGGCUGUUGGGACCCGAAAGAUGGUGAACUAUGCUUGAAUAGGGUGAAGCCAGAGGAAACUCUGGUGGAGGCUCGCAGCGGUUCUGACGUGCAAAUCGAUCGUCAAAUUUGGGCAUAGGGGGCGAAAGACUAAU
RNAcentral lists this ribosomal RNA (852 nucleotides) under Alternaria solani. Its description in RNAcentral is "eukaryotic LSU rRNA". It matches the Rfam family "Eukaryotic large subunit ribosomal RNA", at positions 68 to 935 of the family's 3401-position model. The record is from RNAcentral. Lineage: Eukaryota; Fungi; Ascomycota; Dothideomycetes; Pleosporales; Pleosporaceae.